GCCAGUGUGGUGUAAUGGUUUGAACAUUGGACUGUGACUCCAGAGGCCAGGGUUUGAACCCCCAUUCAACCA
This is a non-coding RNA of Phrynosoma platyrhinos (Desert horned lizard), 72 nucleotides long. NCBI's taxonomy places the organism in Eukaryota, Metazoa, Chordata, Lepidosauria, Squamata, Phrynosomatidae. The record is from the annotation of a GenBank genome assembly.